AGCUUGGUGAGCAGCUGCGACCUGUGCAUAACUUGGGGCGCCGCCAGGGGCUCGCAGGUUCCACGUCCGGCGCCUGGAGAAGGAAGACGCGCGUCCCCGGCCGCGGCGCCGAAGCCGGCUGGGGGACCGCCUGGUCCCGGGCCAGAGCUGGGAGGCGGUGUUCCGUGAGCCGCCUGGUCUGGGGUGCGGGGGGCGGGAAGCGGCCCCUUCGUGUGCGCUUGGGCGAGGCCGGGCGGCGCUUCUGUCCUCCUACUCGGACCCGCAGGUUUCUGGUCCUCAUACCGUGUGGUUGAGUGAAAUCAAAACUUCCACGAUAGCAAUGCUGAUUGGACAAAGAAUGUGUUGUGGACACAAAACCAAACUCUGGAGGACAGAGGAUUCAUUCCAAGGUGAAAAAUGGCAAACUUAUCCAGUGAUCUCCUCUAUAGAGAAGGUCUGCUUGUAUUCAAUGACUGGUCUACGUGGGGGUGUGAAGUCCCCUUACUCCACCUGUGAAGAGUCUUCCCAGUUUCAGACCACCCUCCCAGCCUCCUGUUAUUGGCUAAGGCCAUUUU
RNAcentral lists this long non-coding RNA (554 nucleotides) under Homo sapiens (human). Its description in RNAcentral is "MIR31 host gene". The record is from RNAcentral. Lineage: Eukaryota; Metazoa; Chordata; Mammalia; Primates; Hominidae.